GUGUGACUGCGUACCUUUUGUAUAAUGGGUCAGCGACUUAUAUUCUGUAGCAAGGUUAACCGAAUAGGGGAGCCGAAGGGAAACCGAGUCUUAACUGGGCGUUAAGUUGCAGGGUAUAGACCCGAAACCCGGUGAUCUAGCCAUGGGCAGGUUGAAGGUUGGGUAACACUAACUGGAGGACCGAACCGACUAAUGUUGAAAAAUUAGCGGAUGACUUGUGGCUGGGGGUGAAAGGCCAAUCAAACCGGGAGAUAGCUGGUUCUCCCCGAAAGCUAUUUAGGUAGCGCCUCGUGAAUUCAUCUCCGGGGGUAGAGCACUGUUUCGGCAAGGGGGUCAUCCCGACUUACCAACCCGAUGCAAACUGCGAAUACCGGAGAAUGUUAUCACGGGAGACACACGGCGGGUGCUAACGUCCGUCGUGAAGAGGGAAACAACCCAGACCGCCAGCUAAGGUCCCAAAGUCAUGGUUAAGUGGGAAACGAUGUGGGAAGGCCCAGACAGCCAGGAUGUUGGCUUAGAAGCAGCCAUCAUUUAAAGAAAGCGUAAUAGCUCACUGGUCGAGUCGGCCUGCGCGGAAGAUGUAACGGGGCUAAACCAUGCACCGAAGCUGCGGCAGCGACGCUUAUGCGUUGUUGGGUAGGGGAGCGUUCUGUAAGCCUGNAUGCUGGAGGUAUCAGAAGUGCGAAUGCUGACAUAAGUAACGAUAAAGCGGGUGAAAAGCCCGCUCGCCGGAAGACCAAGGGUUCCUGUCCAACGUUAAUCGGGGCAGGGUGAGUCGACCCCUAAGGCGAGGCCGAAAGGCGUAGUCGAUGGGAAACAGGUUAAUAUUCCUGUACUUGGUGUUACUGCGAAGGGGGGACGGAGAAGGCUAUGUUGGCCGGGCGACGGUUGUCCCGGUUUAAGCGUGUAGGCUGGUUUUCCAGGCAAAUCCGGAAAAUCAAGGCUGAGGCGUGAUGACGAGGCACUACGGUGCUGAAGCAACAAAUGCCCUGCUUCCAGGAAAAGCCUCUAAGCAUCAGGUAACAUCAAAUCGUACCCCAAACCGACACAGGUGGUCAGGUAGAGAAUACCAAGGCGCUUGAGAGAACUCGGGUGAAGGAACUAGGCAAAAUGGUGCCGUAACUUCGGGAGAAGGCACGCUGAUAUGUAGGUGAAGUCCCUCGCGGAUGGAGCUGAAAUCAGUCGAAGAUACCAGCUGGCUGCAACUGUUUAUUAAAAACACAGCACUGUGCAAACACGAAAGUGGACGUAUACGGUGUGACGCCUGCCCGGUGCCGGAAGGUUAAUUGAUGGGGUUAGCGCAAGCGAAGCUCUUGAUCGAAGCCCCGGUAAACGGCGGCCGUAACUAUAACGGUCCUAAGGUAGCGAAAUUCCUUGUCGGGUAAGUUCCGACCUGCACGAAUGGCGUAAUGAUGGCCAGGCUGUCUCCACCCGAGACUCAGUGAAAUUGAACUCGCUGUGAAGAUGCAGUGUACCCGCGGCAAGACGGAAAGACCCCGUGAACCUUUACUAUAGCUUGACACUGAACAUUGAGCCUUGAUGUGUAGGAUAGGUGGGAGGCUUUGAAGUGUGGACGCCAGUCUGCAUGGAGCCGACCUUGAAAUACCACCCUUUAAUGUUUGAUGUUCUAACGUUGACCCGUAAUCCGGGUUGCGGACAGUGUCUGGUGGGUAGUUUGACUGGGGCGGUCUCCUCCUAAAGAGUAACGGAGGAGCACGAAGGUUGGCUAAUCCUGGUCGGACAUCAGGAGGUUAGUGCAAUGGCAUAAGCCAGCUUGACUGCGAGCGUGACGGCGCGAGCAGGUGCGAAAGCAGGUCAUAGUGAUCCGGUGGUUCUGAAUGGAAGGGCCAUCGCUCAACGGAUAAAAGGUACUCCGGGGAUAACAGGCUGAUACCGCCCAAGAGUUCAUAUCGACGGCGGUGUUUGGCACCUCGAUGUCGGCUCAUCACAUCCUGGGGCUGAAGUAGGUCCCAAGGGUAUGGCUGUUCGCCAUUUAAAGUGGUACGCGAGCUGGGUUUAGAACGUCGUGAGACAGUUCGGUCCCUAUCUGCCGUGGGCGCUGGAGAACUGAGGGGGGCUGCUCCUAGUACGAGAGGACCGGAGUGGACGCAUCACUGGUGUUCGGGUUGUCAUGCCAAUGGCACUGCCCGGUAGCUAAAUGCGGAAGAGAUAAGUGCUGAAAGCAUCUAAGCACGAAACUUGCCCCGAGAUGAGUUCUCCCUGACUCCUUGAGAGUCCUGAAGGAACGUUGAAGACGACGACGUUGAUAGGCCGGGUGUGUAAGCGCAGCGAUGCGUUGAGCUAACCGGUACUAAUGAACCGUGAGGCUUAACCUU
RNAcentral lists this ribosomal RNA (2336 nucleotides) under Escherichia coli. RNAcentral describes it as "bacterial LSU rRNA". It matches the Rfam family "Bacterial large subunit ribosomal RNA", at positions 591 to 2925 of the family's 2925-position model. The record is from RNAcentral. Lineage: Bacteria; Pseudomonadati; Pseudomonadota; Gammaproteobacteria; Enterobacterales; Enterobacteriaceae.